GUGUCAGCAGCCGCGGUAAUACGGGGGGGGUAAGCGUUGUUCGGAAUUACUGGGCGUAAAGGGCUCGUAGGCGGCCAACUAAGUCAGACGUGAAAUCCCUCAGCUUAACUGGGGAACUGCGUCUGAUACUGGAUGGCUUGGAUUCGGGAGAGGAAUGCGGAAUUCCAGGUGUAGCGGUGAAAUGCGUAGAUAUCUGGAGGAACACCGGUGGCGAAGGCGGCAUUCUGGACCGACAUUGACGCUGAGGAGCGAAAGCCAGGGGAGCAAACGGGAUUAGAUACCCCGGUAGUCC
This 292-nucleotide ribosomal RNA is filed under the name uncultured bacterium. RNAcentral's name for it is "partial 16S ribosomal RNA". It matches the Rfam family "Bacterial small subunit ribosomal RNA", at positions 505 to 796 of the family's 1533-position model. The record is from RNAcentral.